RNAcentral lists this long non-coding RNA (1885 nucleotides) under Papio anubis (olive baboon). Its description in RNAcentral is "lncRNA (ENSPANG00000040716.1)". Lineage: Eukaryota; Metazoa; Chordata; Mammalia; Primates; Cercopithecidae. The record is from RNAcentral.
CAGAAUAAUGGUCCCCAAAGAUGCCUACGUCUAACUCCUGGAAGCUGUGAAUAUGUUGUGUUAUAUGGCAAGGAUAAACUAAAGUUGCAGAUGGGAAUUAAAGAUGCCAAUCAGCUGAGCUGGAAAUAAUGAGCGUGCCCUGGAUUCUCCAGUGCCUCCAGAAAGAACGCAGCCCUACUGACACCUUGGUUUUGGCCUCGUGAGACCGACUUUGGACUUCUCACUUCCAAAACGGAAGCUGCCUUUGGAGAGACCUACAUGGGAAGGAACUGUGGAGUGCCUCUAGCCAACAGCCAGAGAGAAACUGAGGUCCUCAACUGAACAGUCCCUAAACAACAGGAGCCUACCAAUAAUCACACUGGUGAAGUUGAAAGUUGUACUCCUCCCUCAGUGGAGACCUCACAGGAGAUCACAGGCCAGACAGUUAACUGCAACCAAGCCAGAGACCUUGUGUUGCAGAGAUGUGCAGAAAACUGUGCCGCAUUUCUGACCUACAGACAGAUAAUGUCUUCAUUUCUUUAAAACAGGUCAUCGUCAUCACUUUCAAAGAGAGUCUCAGGAAUAAAGGAAGAUACAAAUCUACCUACUUGAAAAAAGCAAGUCCAUCGGAGAAUGAAAUUCCAAUUCCACAGCCCUCACUGAAGCAAAGGGGUCGGCCUCUGUGCAACUCACAGAAGUUUGUGUGUGCUUGUGUACGUGAGUGCAGGUGUGUGCCUGUGUGUGUAUGUUUGCUUUAUGUCAUUUUAAAUGUGUUUAAAAAAAUAACAGAGCAAAAAUUGAGAAAGGAAUGCUAUUGUCAAAAAAGGAAAGAGGGGAAAUGACAGUUACAUGACAAAGCUGGCUUAGUAACCCCCAAACUUCCCACACAACUGUUCAAACUUGGUCCUUGCAGGUCAGUGCGCUAUAGGGCUUCGAAGCUUUUCUCCUGUUUGAGGCCCCUCCCAGCAGCACCUGCCUCUCACACACACCCCUGUUGUGGUCUUUUUUCCCCAAAUGCAUAUCUUUUGUUCUGUUCUAGUCCAAGUAGUUAAGAAACAGCUUGCCGAUUCAAACCGUGCACAAAUACCAGAAUCCAAGUAUUUUUGAAGAGCUUUCUUUUGCUGUUAUUUUGUUGUUAUACUUUGUUGUUAUUUUUACUUAAGAGAACAAGAAAUUAGAGGAUUGCCAAAAACAGAAAUGGAGAAAAAACGAAGAUGAAUGUAACAAUGAAUCCGUGAGAUAUUUUAAAUGUCUAAACUGGCACAGUUCAAAUUAUAAAUGACAUUAUGGUCUGUGUUGCAUUUGGCUGGAGUUGUUGCAUGGAGAUUGUGGCAGGAACCCAUUUUCCUUCCCUGAAGCCAAGCUGGGUGUGUGCAGGGUGUCAAGAGAAUUAGGAGAGAUUGUGUUGCUUUCGGUGGGGGUGUAGGUGGGGCAAUUUAUGAGUCCUCAAGCCUACCUUCUAUGCCUCACCUAUUAACUACAAAGGUUAUUCAAUACAAGAACCAUGAUUAAUAAGCAGCUGUCAGCUGAGUGCAUUGGCUCAUGCCUGUAAUCCCAGCGCUCUGGGAGACUGAGACAGGAGGAUGACUUGAGGCCAGGAGUUCCAGGCUGCAGAGAGCUAUGAUGGCAUCACUGCACUCCAGCCUGGGCAACAGAGUUAGACCCUGUCUCAAAUGAACACAUAAACUAACAAGCAGCUGUCAAAAAGCAUCCUCAAAAGUGGGAGUGGACAAGGCCACGGGCCAAAAAGGCUAAUAAAAUCAGCCCAGUCUUCCCCCUGAACACAGUGGAUUUCCAUCUGUGUGAUAAUGUUGGAGCAUUGUCCCUGCAUGAACUUGGCCUUGUCUUCUGAUUCUACUUCUCAGGUUCAGCAAAAGAAAAGAAGGGCCUGUAAAGGAAAGAGAAA